RNAcentral lists this ribosomal RNA (533 nucleotides) under Lacticaseibacillus paracasei. RNAcentral describes it as "bacterial SSU rRNA". It matches the Rfam family "Bacterial small subunit ribosomal RNA", at positions 180 to 699 of the family's 1533-position model. Lineage: Bacteria; Bacillati; Bacillota; Bacilli; Lactobacillales; Lactobacillaceae. The record is from RNAcentral.
CAAGAACCGCAUGGUUCUUGGCUGAAAGAUGGCGAACGCUGUCGCGUUAGGAUGGACCCGCGGCGUAAGGUUGAUCGGCCAAAUUGGAACUGAGACGCGGCCCAAACUCCUACGGUAGGCAGCAUUAGCUAGUUGGGGAGGUAAUGGCUCACCAAGGGUACGAUACGUUGCCGAACUGAGGUAGGGAAUCUUUCACAAGGGACGCAAGUCUGAUGGAUCAACGCCGCGUGAGUGAAGAAGGCUUUCGGGUCGUAAAACUCUGUUGUUGGAGAAGAAUGGUCGGCAGAGUAACUGUUGUCUGCGUGACGGUAUCCGACCAGAAACCCUCGGCUAACUACUUGCCGGCAGCCGUGGUAAUACGUAGGUGGUAACCGUUUUCUGGUUUUAUUGGGCGUAAAGCGAGCGCAGGCGGUUUUUUAAGUCUGAUGUGAAAGCUCUCUGCUUAUCCGAGGAAGCGCAUCGGAAAUUGGAAAACUUGAGUGCAGAAGAGGACAGUGUAACUCCUUGUGUAUCGGUAAAUUGCGUAGAUAUAU